UACGUAGGGGGCGAGCGUUGUCCGGAGUUACUGGGCGUAAAGGGCAUGCAGGCGGUCAGGCGCGUUUUGUGUGACAGCGGAUGGCUUAACUAUCCGAGGAUACGAGAUACGGCGUGACUUGAGAGCGCGAGAGGGACACGGAAUUCCGGGUGGAGUGGUGAAAUGCGUAGAGAUCGGCAGGAACACCCAGGGGGAAACCAGUCGACUGGGCAUCUACUGACGCUGAGGAGCGAAAGCGUGGGGAGCGAACAGG
Molecule: ribosomal RNA, 253 nt
Filed under: uncultured bacterium
Lineage: Bacteria
Description: partial 16S ribosomal RNA
Rfam family: Bacterial small subunit ribosomal RNA
Source: RNAcentral